RNAcentral lists this long non-coding RNA (8046 nucleotides) under Sorghum bicolor (sorghum). Its description in RNAcentral is "long non-coding RNA (SBIC_LNC005497)". Lineage: Eukaryota; Viridiplantae; Streptophyta; Magnoliopsida; Poales; Poaceae. The record is from RNAcentral.
ACGGCCGGCCGCGUGGACGCCACAGCCCGGCCGAGCCUCUGCCUCGCCACCGUGGGAGUCGCCGCGGCCACGACGCCUUCAGCCCCGGCGCCCCUCCGCGUCUACGACGGUGUCGACCGCGAGCCCCCGUGCUGUCAUGGAGCUUACCUCGUCGAGCCGACACGCCGUCGACAGAGCCACCGAUGCCGCGCGCCGGGCACCAGAGCAAGCCCCUUCGCCGAGCACCCGAUGCGCCCCGUUGCCGCGGCCACGCCAGGACAUCGCCAUGGUCACCGCGUCAGCGCCGGCCGUGGUGAUCGCGACCCCGACCACGACGCCGUGCUCAUCUUGCCACGGUGACCGCGAACUUCCCUUUUGCUGGCUGCCGAUCACCACUGAACGUGCAGCAGCGGCAGCACCACCCCGCGCGAAGCUCUUCUCUGCCGCCGGUGAGCCACCAGUGCCCAAGUGCCCUCCUUGCUAGCUUUCUGUUUUGCCUUGCUGAAACCGGCCUUUGUGCCGUGUUCUUCACUGUACAGGGAUGCUGCACCCAUGUCGUGCCACUUGCCGGAGCCGUUGGACUUAACAUCGCUGCUGUUGGAGCACCGAACCUCGAGGCGUUGCCGAACCCCAAGACUUCUCUUUCAGAUGCACCCCGGCCACUUGCAGCAAGCCGCGACCAAGCUGUAGAAGCCCUCUGCCAUCCUCGCCCGCAAGGUCGAACCUUGAACCUAGCCGACAUCGUCUCCGACGUUGGCAAAACCCUUGCCGUUCAUUUCGAUAUCAUACAUGCCAUGUAUCUUGCUCAUGUAUGCAUUAUGAUCUAUCUGCAUGACCAUUUGUUCAUCUAUCCAUGUCAUGCACUUGUUACAUGAUUAUUCAUCUCAUAUCUCGUUUAAUGCGCGAUCUAUCUUCGUCUAUAUCUCUGCCUGUGCCGUGCCUUCGUGCCGGUCUAUUUAUCUAUCUCUAUCUCUUUUGGUCGCUAUGGAAAUGUGCUACUCCGAGUCGUCGUCUUGUUAGUGUUGCAAUUUGUGCUUUUGUUCUUGUCGUUGUGGACCGUGCCGUCGAGCCGGUUGAGAGAGUGACGUGUUUGGAUGUUGCGAUCGCGAGUUCGUCUCGCCAUGGCCGUAAUGCCGAGCAUGUCCCUUCUCUCGUAUUUCUGUUGUUCCUUCUUUUGUUAUUUGCAUGCCUGAGGACCGAGCCUUCGAGCCGGUUAGGGAAAAUGGUGGAGCGUUCGAUCAUUUCGAUCGUGGGUUCGUCCCGCCGUGAUCGCGAUGCCGAGCGUAACUCAUUCCCUGUGAUUAGUUGUCUUCGCUGCGCUACGGUCGUUAGCUCCUAUUCCCGUCCCUCGAACGUGGUCAUCGUGGACUCGAUGUCGUUAACGACGCGGUUCUUACCCGCACACUCGAGACCUAAAUGACCUAGUCUAGUGGGAUACGAAUUAGGGGACAACCUUCGUAGAACUAUCGGAGAAACUCGUUAGGUGAAGCUCAUGGCCGCGAGUCCACCUUGCCAUGGCCAUUGGGCUUUACCCCAUUUCUCCCGUGUUUAUCCUAACCACCUCGUAUGCUUGUACCACUUCGACUAUAGCAUUCCCUCGGACCUAGCGGUGACAACCACAUCGCUAUGGGCCUUAGGAAUAGCCUUGUGCUGAUUUAGAUGCACAGUCAUGGUGCCCUACAAGUGGGUUGGGAUCGUGGGGUCGUAUUCCUUUUAUCCAACCGUCGUUGUUCCAUGAUGAGUUGGUCGAAAGAGUAUGGACUCCAUUCUUCUUCUCUCUUGUUCUCAAUCCCGUCGAUCCAGUAAGAUGGGGAUUAAGCCCCUUUUGCUUGUUUGAUGUUUUGUUUCCAAUCCCGCGAUUCCCGCCGUUGCUAUGGCGAGCGGAUCAAAGGAAGGUGAAUCCCGUGUCUUUUUCCGCCUUUUUGGUUCUUCGUGCUUAAACUCUUGUAUGCUUGUACCUAUAUCGAUCGUAGCAUUUCUUUGGUUCUUGUGGUGACAACCGCACCGCAAAGAACCUUAGUGAUGUCAUAGUGCAUUUAGUGCACCUAGGUUGUGGUACCCUACAAGUGGUUUGAGUACUCGUGUUCCUUAUGUGUCACUCUUUCUAAUCCCCCGUCUCUUACCAUGGCGAGUGGAUGGGAAGAAGUAGACCACUCCCCUUUUCUUCUUUCCUUGUUCCACCCUCUCUUGGCUCUCGCCAACUACAAUGGCGUAUGGAUUGAGAGAGACCGGAACUUCGCGUGCUCAUAGUCUUUUCGAUUCUUGUCGAUCUCCGUGAUGCUUGGAUCGAAGAGCCACUACCUAUGGUGUUUGCUUAUGAUAAGUUAGGGUCUAAGCCAAUUAUUAAAGUCGUACAGGUUGACUUAGUCGACCCAGGAAGUACCGGCUAGGCUAAGACUCCAGCUUGUACUUAGUGAACAACCAUUCCCAUUUCUUUUAGCCCAAAGAUCGGACAUCCGCCGAGAGGGCUAAGCCGUUUUCCUUUCGUUGCUCUUUUAGUGUAGUUGUUCCUCAGUGUUAUGUCGUCUCUUUUCGUAGUCUUUCGAGGUCUAGUGGUUUGAUUGUUUCGCCUUGUUUGUCGCUUUCGAGGUAGUCGCUUCGAGGUUAGCGUUGAUCGGACCAGGACCAGUUGAAGGAAGAACAUGUAGAAAGGAGGAUCUUGGAUGAGUACAACUACAAGUGAACUGAGGAUCUUGGAAAUGUCACUCGACAGGUGCCACGUCCCACCCAACCUCGUAGAAUCCUAUUAGACAUGCAAUAAUGUAGAUGCUAGUGCUUUACUUUUAUGCAAAUGAAUUGAGAUAGGUUGCAUGGUAGAAAUGCUUGUGAGCCAUUGCCUUGUUGCAACCUAUAACCCUCGCACACCCGCUGUUAGGUUAGACGCUUGCAUACUACUUGCUACUGCUUCUACUACGCAUUAUAUCUGUGAUGUGAUGCAUUGUGGAGGAUUGGAUGUGAGUGGAUAAGGCACGUGGUGCCGAUAACUGGAUAAGAAAUGGAUAAUGGACUUGGGGAGAUCUUGGCGUGUGUCUUGGGUGUGUGGUGAGGGUUGAGUCGACCGAGCAGGAUUUACGACGAGUCUUGGGACAAGUCUUGCCGGGGAAUGCUACCUGGGCGUUCUCCAUGAGAGAUACCUGUGGCGGGUACAUGUGACAGGGAGAGGUCCCGGAGUGGAGUGUCUUCGUGGGACGAAGCACCGGGAUGGGAGGUGCUGUAUAGCACGGGGUAGCCGGGUGUCCCGUCGAGAGGGGCAUCGGCUGGCCCCUCGUGAAGAUGUCCUGUUCGGUUACCCUAAGGACUGAGAUGUUCUGAGAACCGGUUCGUAGGAAGCCUUACACGCCACUCGCCUUAUUAUGGUGCGGGACGGAUGUACGACCAGCUAGUGCGGUGCCACUACUACUAGGUUGAUAGCGGAUAGUGUAGGGAGGUACGGGCAUGAGGACCCACACCCUCCUAAGACAGCGUAGUGACCUUUGGGGGCCCGGUACUACGCCUCACAGUCUCAGCAUGCCGGUGGUACUCCGGUAUGGCCCCAGUCCUGAGUGGUAGGGUGGCAUCGUAUUUAGUUGGAAGGCAGCCCGGUAUCAGCCUAGACGAGCCGGUUCGUCGAUGAUGGUGAUCUUGUGGUUAGUGUAAACCUCUGCAGAGUUUGGUUGAUCGAUCGAUACAUAUGCCGUCUUCUCGGCUAUGGACCUUUCCUAUGUUCCGCUUCGCUUGACUAGUGAGAGGAGUCCCUUCUAUCUUCCCCUGGGUUUGUGUUGGAUCCGGCGUUGGCCGUUGAGGCAAGGCACGAGCGGGAGUCGUACUUGCCGCCUAGAGAGUGAGAGUGUGGUGAGAUGUGUGUGAUGGGAUGGAUGGAUGGAUGUGUGGAUGAGAUGGAUUAAAACUUGAUGAAUUAUUAUUAUUAAAAUAUUGAUGAACUUGCAUAGAAAAAACUACAGCCAUAUAUAGGCCUCUUGAUCUACCCUUUUGCAUUCCACUUACCACAAAGCUUACGCAAAAGCAUAGGGUGGGAGCCAGUGGCCAGUACAAAUCGUACUGAAAAUUGUUUAGCAGGUUUUGAACGUGAUCUAUGACGAUAACUACGGAGAAUAGAAGGAUUAGGUGGUCUCGUUCCUGCGCUCAAGUUUGGUUCAGAGAUGAAGGCUGCGCCCGCUGAUAAACUACGCCGACUCUGAUGAUUGUCCGUGAAGGAGGAGCCUUCACCGCUGUCGCGCUACAUCGACUCUGAUAAAGACUCGCGUGUGUUUCCGCUAGAAAAACAAUGUAAUAAGCUUGUUAAUCAAGAGUUGUAAAGCAAAUGUGUUGUAAUCUUGUUUCUCACGAUGUAUGACUACGAUAACAGCUGAUAUAUGAUAAUGCGAUGGUUCAAUUUUUGAAUUAUCACAUUAUAAUUCGAAUCUGUGGAUUUUUCCCUUUGUGGAAAAAUCUGGGUCGUUUCAGUUGGUAUCAGAGCCAUACUUGACCCUAGGACGAGACCAUUAGGACCAAACACUAGUUUAGAAGCCAAACAUUCUAUCUUUUGUAGAGUUAUAGAUGCUAACACUUGUUUUCCCCCCUCCGCCUUGAAUUCUGUUGCUAACUGACCUCCCUGUUUCAUAAAGUUGACCGUUGGAAUCUUUUCCCAUACCCGCCCACGCUAGAUCGGUAGUCGUGUGAGACUUUGAAGGUCUGUGAGUCGCCUCAAGUCAACACUAUGCAUUAGGAGUUGUAAUGCUGAUUGAGUGCUUGGAUCUUAUGUUCUUGCGUUUCGUCUGCUUCUUGUUGUUUGAGUGUAUGUCAUAGAACUGUUUUAUGCGAGAAAAACUCUGGAUCCCGUCCAAUCUAGCUGGCUAAACCUAAGACUGUCCCGAAACUAGAUAAGUGACCCUGGCUAACAGAGCCGAAAAAGGGUUUAAAGCUGAUGCAUCAUGUCUUGCCCAUCUAUUUCAAAACUGUUUUUGGCUUCCAACUAAACUUGUCUUCAAAAUUGCCCUUUUGUUGAAAAAGUUUCUCUCCUUUUUGGUUGAAAAAGUUUAUCUCUUUUACAAAACAUCUUGGUUUCAAAAGGAAAAGUGUUUCAAAACUCUCUCAAUAUUCUUCCCUUUUCACAAAUAAAGCAAUUUUAACCCCCCUUUCUCAACUCAAACUCUAUUUAUGAAACGGUUUAAAAACAAGUUAUCUUCAAAAGGUGUUACCAAUCCUCUUUCUGAAAAUCAAAAGUUCUACCUUCAACCAACAAAGUGGUUUUCAAACCAAAGAUCUUUGGCUCAGUUUUGUUUUAAAUGUCUUUGAUUUUAUCUCAAGAGCCAAAUUCCUUUUAAAAUUCAACCUUGCCUUAAAAGAAAAAGGAAUUCCCAGUGAUUUAUUAAACAAAAACCAUUGUGAAAAGUUUUUGUUUAGCAACCUUUCAAAAAAAAGAACGAAAUGGACUUUCAAGUUUCAAAAAUGUUUUGGUUGUGAAGGCUCUAACUUUCAAAAUGCGAAAUGAUUUCUUGUUAUUUUCAAAACUAAUUUGUUUGACUCUAAUAAAAAGGGAGCAAUACCUUGUUUUAAAGAAAAUAGUAAUAAUAAAAUGAAAGAAUUUUAAAAUCUUUUGAUUUGAAAUCUUUUAUAAUAAAACCUUCAAAAUAUUUGGUUCUCAAAACUUGUAUUGAAUUCAACCCUCUGCAAAAGCUCUCUUCAUUUUGAAGUCUCAAAAAAAAAAUUGACUUUGUAAAAUCGCUUUCACUCCAUUUAUGAAACCUGUUUUUUUCCGAAAAACAUUCCUUUCAAAAGCUUUUUGCAAAGAGUGAUGCAUGAAAAACCGCUAGUGAAAGCCAACAACCCUAGCUAUGUUUAAGCCUGCCAUGCACUCCUAGAGAGCCAGAUGUUCAUCAACCUGGUGCGAUUCUUGGAUACCCAUCGCCUUGUUGUGAGAAUUUGGAUACCCAACACCAGCGAGUGAGCCUUGGAUACAUCCUGAACAUGACUCGCCCCCACAUGGAAAAGGUUUGUGGAGCCAUCUUUCUGAUAGCAGUUAACUCAAAAGUAAGAAGAACUUCUGAAACGACGCCCUCGUUUCUUCACCGACCGAGCAACGCCUAAAUCUCGGGACGAGAUUCCUGUAAGGUGGGUGGACUGUAACAUCCCGGAUUUUUACAAAAACCAAAAAUACGAACUUUUUAAAAUUUUUCCUGUAAUCGUGUGAAUCAUAUAGUAUUUAGGUCAAACUCGAUCCUAACCCGCUAACAAAUCGUGGCAUACAUAUAGAUUUGUUUGUAGACGGGUCGUCUUAAGUUGGAUCUUGUUAGGGUUUUGAGUUUCUUUUGGAGUGCACAAAUCCGUAGCAAAGCCUUCCCGAAUUUUCGUUGAGCCUAUCUCAAAGGCGAAGCGGAUCCCUUCUCAACCUUUUCGUUGGAGUACGUCUCAAACUCCUUUUGAUCCUUUUGAACUCUCCCUGAAAUUCCCUUCUCUCUCUCUUUGAUCUUAUCUAAAUCUCCUCCGCAAAAUCUAUCUUAAAUUCAUGGUAACUCAUCUCAAUCUCUUGUUGAGUUCUCUCUCGAAUGCCCCUCAUUUUUUUUUCCCUUUUAAAAUUUCUCUCAAAGCCCUUGAGUCAAAUUCGUAAAUGGAAGAUCCAUCUCCUUUCAUGGGCCAAUUCUUUCCUCCUCUUCCUCCCUCCCUCGGCCCAGCCUGGGCACCCUUCCCCCCUGUCCGGCCCAACUCGCGCGCGCCAAGGCCCAGUCUGCCCCUUACCCCCCAGCCAGGUCGGCCCACCUCGUUCCCCCUGUCUCCCCUCCGAGGCCCAGCUCUUUCCUUGGCCCAUCCAGUGCCGCGCUGGCCCAUUCGCUUCUCCCUGCUCUGGCCCAAGUCGUGGCCGGCCCAGCAGCCAGCGCCCCAGCCCCAACCCUAGCAGGGAGCUGGACACCUGAGCCCCAGAGCCGCCGCCGCCGUCGCCCAAGGCAGAGCCGCGCCAGCGCUCGCGCCUGCCACGGCUUCCGUGCGACCCCGCAUCCACCGCCGCGUGUCCCGCUGCGGACACGGACGCCGAGGAUGGCCGCAGCGUCCCUGGAGCCCUAGCGCCCGCGCUAUAAAAGCGGCAGCAGCCGCUCGCCCUUCUUCUACCCGCCGCCGCCGCCAUAGCCGACUCGAAGCUCCGCACCCUCACCAAGCGCCUCGACCCCGACCUCGCCCCGCGCACCUGCACCACCGAGCUCGGUCACGCCGUGACGCCGUCGAUCGCCACCACGAUGUCGCCCGCAACUGCGUCGCCCGAGCGUCUCGUCCUCGGCACCACCUCGGCACUCGCACCGCGCCCUCGCCGAGCAGCAGCAGAGCCGCGGCCAUGGCCUCGCCCUGCCGACGCCGCCAAGCACCACUGCGCCCGCCUCGGCCGUGCCCCUACCUCUGUGUCAAGCUUCAUCACCACGCGGGGGUCAGCCGCGGUGCCGUCCUCGCUGCGCAGCGGCCUCGCCCGGCGACGUCGAGCCCGCUGCCCUCGCCGCGUCGAGCUUCGACCACGGCCGGCCGCGUGGACGCCACAGCCCGGCCGAGCCUCUGCCUCGCCACCGUGGGAGUCGCCGCGGCCACGACGCCUUCAGCCCCGGCGCCCCUCCGCGUCUACGACGGUGUCGACCGCGAGCCCCCGUGCUGUCAUGGAGCUUACCUCGUCGAGCCGACACGCCGUCGACAGAGCCACCGAUGCCGCGCGCCGGGCACCAGAGCAAGCCCCUUCGCCGAGCACCCGAUGCGCCCCGUUGCCGCGGCCACGCCAGGACAUCGCCAUGGUCACCGCGUCAGCGCCGGCCGUGGUGAUCGCGACCCCGACCACGACGCCGUGCUCAUCUUGCCACGGUGACCGCGAACUUCCCUUUUGCUGGCUGCCGAUCACCACUGAACGUGCAGCAGCGGCAGCACCACCCCGCGCGAAGCUCUUCUCUGCCGCCGGUGAGCCACCAGUGCCCAAGUGCCCUCCUUGCUAGCUUUCUGUUUUGCCUUGCUGAAACCGGCCUUUGUGCCGUGUUCUUCACUGUACAGGGAUGCUGCACCCAUGUCGUGCCACUUGCCGGAGCCGUUGGACUUAACAUCGCUGCUGUUGGAGCACCGAAC